This 438-nucleotide ribosomal RNA is filed under the name uncultured bacterium. Its description in RNAcentral is "bacterial SSU rRNA". It matches the Rfam family "Bacterial small subunit ribosomal RNA", at positions 30 to 504 of the family's 1533-position model. The record is from RNAcentral.
CGAACGCUGGCGGCAGGCCUAACACAUGCAAGUCGAACGAGAAGCUACCUUCGGGUAGUGGAUAGUGGCAGACGGGUGAGUAACGCGUGGGAACGUGCCUUUCGGUUCGGAAUAACUCAGGGAAACUUGGGCUAAUACCGGAUACGCCCUUCGGGGGAAAGAUUUAUCGCCGAAAGAUCGGCCCGCGUCAGAUUAGCUUGUUGGUGAGGUAAUGGCUCACCAAGGCGACGAUCUGUAGCUGGUCUGAGAGGAUGAUCAGCCACACUGGGACUGAGACACGGCCCAGACUCCUACGGGAGGCAGCAGUGGGGAAUAUUGGACAAUGGGCGAAAGCCUGAUCCAGCCAUGCCGCGUGGGUGAAGAAGGCCUUAGGGUUGUAAACCCCUUUCAGCGGGGAAGAUAAUGACGGUACCCGCAGAAGAAGCUCCGGCUAACUCC